RNAcentral lists this ribosomal RNA (329 nucleotides) under Leptolyngbyaceae cyanobacterium RM1_405_57. Its description in RNAcentral is "bacterial SSU rRNA". It matches the Rfam family "Bacterial small subunit ribosomal RNA", at positions 1 to 357 of the family's 1533-position model. The record is from RNAcentral. RNAcentral also lists the same sequence under 1 other name. Lineage: Bacteria; Bacillati; Cyanobacteriota; Cyanophyceae; Leptolyngbyales; Leptolyngbyaceae.
CAAUGGAGAGUUUGAUCCUGGCUCAGGAUGAACGCUGGCGGUAUGCUUAACACAUGCAAGUCGAACGGAGCUUUUCGGAGCUUAGUGGCGGACGGGUGAGUAACGCGUGAGUAUCUGCCUACAGGACUGGGACAACGACUGGAAACGGUCGCUAAAACCGGAUGUGCCGAGAGGUGAAAUAUUUUAUAGCCUGUAGAUGAGUUUGCGUCUGAUUAGCUAGUUGGUGGGGUAAGGGCCUACCAAGGCGACGAUCAGUAGCUGGUCUGAGAGGACGAUCAGCCACACUGGGACUGAGACACGGCCCAGACUCCUACGGGAGGCAGCAGUGG